This 202-nucleotide long non-coding RNA is filed under the name Lathyrus oleraceus (garden pea). Its description in RNAcentral is "Pisum sativum (pea) long non-coding RNA (PSAT_LNC031422)". Lineage: Eukaryota; Viridiplantae; Streptophyta; Magnoliopsida; Fabales; Fabaceae. The record is from RNAcentral.
UUGAUGUGUUGGAUAUUUGGAAGAACGACAAAAGAUUGAGCAAUGUGGUGCACAACAAUCGUUCAAUUCUUUCGAGGAAUAAUAAGGCGAACGCCUCCCACUCAUUUUUUCGUUUAAAUUACUUAUUGAAAUUUUGUUUGUGGAAUUCGAAUAUGCACGGUAGUGAGGCGUCCGCCUCCCACUUGCUUAUUCUAGAACAAAC